CAUGCAGUCGAACGAUGACCCGGUGCUUGCACCGGUGAUUAGUGGCGAACGGGUGAGUAACACGUGAGUAACCUGCCCUUAACUCUGGGAUAAGCCUGGGAAACUGGGUCUAAUACCGGAUAUGACUCCUCAUCGCAUGGUGGGGGGUGGAAAGCUUUUUGUGGUUUUGGAUGGACUCGCGGCCUAUCAGCUUGUUGGUGAGGUAAUGGCUCACCAAGGCGACGACGGGUAGCCGGCCUGAGAGGGUGACCGGCCACACUGGGACUGAGACACGGCCCAGACUCCUACGGGAGGCAGCAGUGGGGAAUAUUGCACAAUGGGCGAAAGCCUGAUGCAGCGACGCCGCGUGAGGGAUGACGGCCUUCGGGUUGUAAACCUCUUUCAGUAGGGAAGAAGCGAAAGUGACGGUACCUGCAGAAGAAGCGCCGGCUAACUACGUGCCAGCAGC
This 448-nucleotide ribosomal RNA is filed under the name Arthrobacter sp. IMV42. RNAcentral describes it as "bacterial SSU rRNA". It matches the Rfam family "Bacterial small subunit ribosomal RNA", at positions 54 to 515 of the family's 1533-position model. Lineage: Bacteria; Bacillati; Actinomycetota; Actinomycetes; Micrococcales; Micrococcaceae. The record is from RNAcentral.